This is a non-coding RNA of Picea glauca (white spruce), 124 nucleotides long. The record is from Rfam. NCBI's taxonomy places the organism in Eukaryota, Viridiplantae, Streptophyta, Pinopsida, Pinales, Pinaceae.
ACGUGCCUACAUCAUAGCGUUAAUGAAACAGAUCGACCCAUUAGAACUCUGCAGAUAAUCACGCUCAGGCUAGAUUAGUACUGGGAUGGGUGACCGCCCAGGAAGUCCUAGUGUUUUACAUGCC